AUGGUGGUACCGUCGGUGUUCGCCGCCUUCGACAAGGACGGCGACGGCAAGGUGUCCGACGACGUGAGGCGAAGGUGCCUGAGGGAGGCGUUCGGGAUGUACGGGUCGUCAUCCACGGAAGACACAACGACGACGAUAAUUACGCCGGCGAGCCUGAGGCGGACCCUGAGCAGACUGGGGUCGCACGAGCUGGGCGUGGAGGAGUGCAGGGCAAUCUGCAGGUUCGACCUCGACGGCGACGGCAAACUCUCGUUCGACGAGUUCCGGGUCAUGAUGAUGGCAUGA
This 285-nucleotide ribosomal RNA is filed under the name Triticum aestivum (bread wheat). Its description in RNAcentral is "partial small subunit ribosomal RNA". The record is from RNAcentral. Lineage: Eukaryota; Viridiplantae; Streptophyta; Magnoliopsida; Poales; Poaceae.